This 943-nucleotide small RNA is filed under the name Fusarium perseae. Its description in RNAcentral is "eukaryotic LSU rRNA". It matches the Rfam family "Eukaryotic large subunit ribosomal RNA", at positions 1 to 942 of the family's 3401-position model. Lineage: Eukaryota; Fungi; Ascomycota; Sordariomycetes; Hypocreales; Nectriaceae. The record is from RNAcentral.
GCCACGCCGUAAAACACCCAACUCUUCUGAAGUUGACCUCGAAUCAGGUAGGAAUACCCGCUGAACUUAAGCAUAUCAAUAAGCGGAGGAAAAGAAACCAACAGGGAUUGCCCCAGUAACGGCGAGUGAAGCGGCAACAGCUCAAAUUUGAAAUCUGGCUCUCGGGCCCGAGUUGUAAUUUGUAGAGGAUGCUUUUGGUGAGGUGCCUUCCGAGUUCCCUGGAACGGGACGCCAUAGAGGGUGAGAGCCCCGUCUGGUUGGACGCCGAACCUCUGUAAAGCUCCUUCGACGAGUCGAGUAGUUUGGGAAUGCUGCUCUAAAUGGGAGGUAUAUGUCUUCUAAAGCUAAAUACCGGCCAGAGACCGAUAGCGCACAAGUAGAGUGAUCGAAAGAUGAAAAGAACUUUGAAAAGAGAGUUAAACAGUACGUGAAAUUGUUGAAAGGGAAGCGCUUGUGACCAGACUUGGGCUUGGUUGAUCAUCCGGGGUUCUCCCCGGUGCACUCUUCCGGCCCAGGCCAGCAUCAGUUCGCCCUGGGGGACAAAGGCUUCGGGAACGUGGCUCUCUCCGGGGAGUGUUAUAGCCCGUUGCGUAAUACCCUGUGGCGGACUGAGGUUCGCGCAUUCGCAAGGAUGCUGGCGUAAUGGUCAUCAGUGACCCGUCUUGAAACACGGACCAAGGAGUCGUCUUCGUAUGCGAGUGUUCGGGUGUCAAACCCCUACGCGAAAUGAAAGUGAACGCAGGUGAGAGCUUCGGCGCAUCAUCGACCGAUCCUGAUGUUAUCGGAUGGAUUUGAGUAAGAGCAUACGGGGCCGGACCCGAAAGAAGGUGAACUAUGCCUGUGUAGGGUGAAGCCAGAGGAAACUCUGGUGGAGGCUCGCAGCGGUUCUGACGUGCAAAUCGAUCGUCAAACAUGGGCAUGGGGGCGAAAGACUAAUCGACUU